GACGAACGCUGGCGGCGUGCUUAACACAUGCAAGUCGAACGGAAAGGCCCUGCUUUUGUGGGGUGCUCGAGUGGCGAACGGGUGAGUAACACGUGAGUAACCUGCCCUUGACUUUGGGAUAACUUCAGGAAACUGGGGCUAAUACCGGAUAGGAGCUCCUGCUGCAUGGUGUGGGUUGGAAAGUUUCGGCGGUUGGGUAUGGACUCGCGGCUUAUCAGCUUGUUGGUGGGGUAGUGGCUUACCAAGGCUUUGACGGGUAGCCGGCCUGAGAGGGUGACCGGCCACAUUGGGACUGAGAGACGGCCCAGACGCCUACGGGAGGCAGCAGGGGGGAAUAUUGCACAAUGGGCGGAAGUCUGAUGCAGCAACGCCGCGUGCGGGAUGACGGCCUUCGGGUUGUAAACCGAUUUCGCCUGUGACGAAGCGUGAGUGACGGUAAUGGGUAAAGAAGCAACGGCUAACUACGUG
This 468-nucleotide ribosomal RNA is filed under the name uncultured bacterium. Its description in RNAcentral is "partial 16S ribosomal RNA". It matches the Rfam family "Bacterial small subunit ribosomal RNA", at positions 28 to 507 of the family's 1533-position model. The record is from RNAcentral.